AUUGAACUCUGGCGGCGUGCUUAACACAUGCAAGUCGAUCGGUAACAGGUGUAGCAAUACAUGCUGACGAGAGGCGGACGGGUGAGGAACGCUUGGGAAUCUGCCCAUCAGCGGGGGACAACCCGGGGAAACCGGGCUAAUACCGCAUACGCUCUAUGGAGGAAAGCCGGGGACCGCAAGGCCUGGCACUGAUGGAUGAGCCCAAGUCGGAUUAGCUAGUUGGCGGGGUAACGGCCCACCAAGGCGACGAUCCGUAGCUGGUCUGAGAGGACGAUCAGCCACACUGGAACUGAGACACGGUCCAGACACCUACGGGUGGCAG
This 322-nucleotide ribosomal RNA is filed under the name uncultured Pseudomonadota bacterium. Its description in RNAcentral is "bacterial SSU rRNA". It matches the Rfam family "Bacterial small subunit ribosomal RNA", at positions 29 to 351 of the family's 1533-position model. The record is from RNAcentral. Lineage: Bacteria; Pseudomonadati; Pseudomonadota.